AGCGGCAGGCUUAACACAUGCAAGUCGAGGGGUAUAGUUCUUCGGAAUUAGAGACCGGCGCACGGGUGCGUUAACGCGUAUGCAAUCUACCUUUCACAGAGGGAUAGCCCAGNGAAAUUUGGAUUAAUACCUCAUAGUAUAGCAGUUUCGCAUGAAACCACUAUUAAAGUCACAACGGCAAAAGAUGAGCAUGCGUCCCAUUAGCUAGUUGGUAAGGUAACGGCUUACCAAGGCUACGAUGGGUAGGGGGUCCUGAGAGGGAGAUCCCCCACACUGGUACUGAGACACGGACCAGACUCCUACGGGAGGCAGCAGUGAGGAAUAUUGGACAAUGGGCGCAAGCCUGAUCCAGCCAUGCCGCGUGCAGGAUGACGGUCCUAUGGAUUGUAAACUGCUUUUGUACAGGAAGAAACACUCCCUCGUGAGGGAGCUUGACGGUACUGUAAGAAUAAGGAUCGGCUAACUCCGUG
RNAcentral lists this ribosomal RNA (470 nucleotides) under uncultured bacterium. RNAcentral describes it as "bacterial SSU rRNA". It matches the Rfam family "Bacterial small subunit ribosomal RNA", at positions 39 to 507 of the family's 1533-position model. The record is from RNAcentral.